CGGGACGGGUGAGUAACACGUAGAGAACCUACCUUACACAGGGGGACAACGGCUGGAAACGGCUGCUAAUACCGCAUAAGCACCCAGUUUCGCAUGAAACAGAGUGAAAAGAGUAAAUCGGUGUAAGAUGGCUCUGCGUCUGAUUAGCUAGUUGGUGGGGUAAAGGCUCACCAAGGCGACGAUCAGUAGCCGGCCUGAGAGGGUGAACGGCCACAUUGGGACUGAGACACGGCCCAGACUCCUACGGGAGGCAGCAG
This 257-nucleotide ribosomal RNA is filed under the name uncultured bacterium. RNAcentral's name for it is "partial 16S ribosomal RNA". It matches the Rfam family "Bacterial small subunit ribosomal RNA", at positions 98 to 354 of the family's 1533-position model. The record is from RNAcentral.